RNAcentral lists this ribosomal RNA (579 nucleotides) under Lasiodiplodia theobromae. RNAcentral's name for it is "partial large subunit ribosomal RNA". It matches the Rfam family "Eukaryotic large subunit ribosomal RNA", at positions 78 to 672 of the family's 3401-position model. The record is from RNAcentral. Lineage: Eukaryota; Fungi; Ascomycota; Dothideomycetes; Botryosphaeriales; Botryosphaeriaceae.
CCUUAGUACGGCGAGUGAAGCGGCAACAGCUCAAAUUUGAAAGCUGGCCCUUUUAGGGUCCGCAUUGUAAUUUGAAGAGGAUGAUUCGGCGAGGGCUCCUGCCUUCCUCCCCUGGAACGGGGCGUCAUAGAGGGAGAGAAUCCCGUAUGCGGUACGUUGCCUUAUCCAUGUGAAUCUCCUUCGACAAUUCUAGUUGAUUGGGAAUGCAACUCUGAAUGGGAGGUCAAUUUCUUCUAAAGCUAAAUACCGGCCAGAUACCGAUCGCGCACAAUUAUAGUGAUAGAAAGAUGAAUUUCACUUUGGAAAGAGAGUUAAAAAGUACUUGAAAUUGUGGAAAGGUAAACGCUUGCAACCGGACUUGUCCGCACUUGCUCAGCCCGUCUCCUGACCGGUUUACUCUUCUGCGGCCAGGCCAUUUUCACUUCGGGAGGUCGGAUAAAGGCCUCGGGAAUGUGGCUCCUCUCGGGGAGGUUAUAGCCCGGGGUGCUGUGCGGCAAUCCUGGACUGACGAACUCGCUUCGGCUAGGAUGCUGGCGUAAUGGUUGUAAUCGGCCCGCUCUUGAAAAAACGGACCCAAAA